Molecule: ribosomal RNA, 442 nt
Filed under: uncultured bacterium
Lineage: Bacteria
Description: partial 16S ribosomal RNA
Rfam family: Bacterial small subunit ribosomal RNA
Source: RNAcentral
CCUACGUGCGGCAGCAGUGGGGAAUAUUGGGCAAUGGGCUAAAGCCUGACCCAGCAACGCCGCGUGAAGGAAGAAGGCUUUCGGGUUGUAAACUUCUUUUGACAGGGAAGAGCAGAAGACGGUACCUGUCGAAUAAGCCACGGCUAACUACGUGCCAGCAGCCGCGGUAAUACGUAGGUGGCAAGCGUUGUCCGGAUUUACUGGGUGUAAAGGGCGUGUAGCCGGGCUGACAAGUCAGAUGUGAAAUCCGGGGGCUCAACCCCCGAACUGCAUUUGAAACUGUAGUUCUUGAGUGAUGGAGAGGCAGGCGGAAUUCCGUGUGGAGCGGUGAAAUGCGUAGAUAUACGGAGGAACACCAGUGGCGAAGGCGGCCUGCUGGACAUUAACUGACGCUGAGGCGCGAAAGCGUGGGGAGCAAACAGGAUUAGAUACCCCUGUAGUC